GUGAAUAAUGAUGGUGAGACUUGUUAAGAAGCUUUGCCCGUCGAUAGAUCUGAAAAACAAAGUAAAAAAAGUGAGAAAGAAGGAAAGAGAGGGGAUGAAUAGAGAAAGUGAUGUUACCAUUAAUGGAGAUCAUUGGAUAUGGGCACUAUUCUCUUAGAGAAGAUGAAGAGGAGCCGGCGUUCCACAUCAUUAUCAUGUCGAUGCCGGCGACAAUUUUGAAGAGAAAAAGG
This 230-nucleotide long non-coding RNA is filed under the name Solanum tuberosum (potato). RNAcentral's name for it is "long non-coding RNA (STUB_LNC004721)". Lineage: Eukaryota; Viridiplantae; Streptophyta; Magnoliopsida; Solanales; Solanaceae. The record is from RNAcentral.